GCGAGCAGCUGUCAUACUCCAGCCGUGGUGCAGGAUGCUCUCUGUACAUGUCCUCCCUCUACACAAACAGAACACAGUCAGUAGCUCUUUGUGGUGUUUCCAUCACACCUGCUCCUACACAGCUUCUAAUGCUCUGUGCUUGCCCGGCUCCACCACUGUCACCUCCCACCCAAAUCUACUACUGGCCUGGAACACCUUCCUGCUGUUUCACAAAAACUCUCUAAAUUUCAUCGCUUGUGGGGUAGAGCAAGUGAAUCUAUGGGGAGACAGUGUUCUAGAGGACCAGCUAAGCCAAGGUAUUUCUCUCCCUACAUCCACAAUGACUGAUUACUGUAGACACUGUAUAAUUUAAGGGGAAUUAUGGAUGAUUCUCCCUUCUGCUGCCUCAAAUAUAACAACCAAUCUUACCAUUCUUCCCCAACUAGUUUGUGACUAAUUCAAAUCUGCAACUAAAGUUUCAUUCAUUGUGCAGUGAAAAUUCAAAUCCAGAUUUUAAAUUUGUAAGAACCUGAGAAAGACAACACAUUAGAUUACUAUCAAUCACCAGAGGAGUAUUGUGAGAAAAAUAGGAUCCUGGAAUAGGGUUUGGAACUAAGGUACAAAGAGAGAAGGAAAAAAGUUCAGCGCAGACUAUGUCUCCAAGUUCUUUUCUGAAAUGUCUGUGUUUCAAAACUUUGAGCCAACUUCAUAUGGAAUAAAAUGUUUAUAGAUAUUUAGGUUCAACAGAGACCACUCAAGAACAAAAAAUUGUGUGUGAAGUCAAGAGGAGAGGAUGCAACAAGGAGGAAAAAAAAUGGCAGUGCCUGGUAUUGCAUAAAAGUACACAUAUUUGAAUUGUGCUACCCACCAAAUCACUCUGCCUUUUAAUGCCAGAAAAAUGAAAAGACCCCUCCAGAUAGUCAACACAGAAGAUCUUUGUAACAUAUUGUAAGAAGCUUCAGACAGGGACCAGAGACAGAAAAAUAAAUAUAGAAGUUUAAGUGAAGUCGGUUUUAUCCAGGGACAUCAGCUCAGCAGGGAUGAGACAUGAAACAGGCCUACAGUUCAAACACACCACUGAGUAUUCCAGACUAUUUCCUGGAGUGAGCUUCUUUAUUAUAAAUACUUUAGAAAUACAAAUAUACAUACCUUUUGCUAAUGUCACUUUAUUUCUGGACUCUGCUUUACAAAGACUCUGAAACCACGAUGUGUUUGGUUAGAAAGAA
This is a long non-coding RNA of Fukomys damarensis (Damara mole-rat), 1205 nucleotides long. RefSeq lists it as uncharacterized. The transcript has 3 exons. Lineage: Eukaryota; Metazoa; Chordata; Mammalia; Rodentia; Bathyergidae. The record is from RefSeq and is a predicted model, not a curated record.